UGACCGUGCGAAGGUAGCGUAAUCAUUUGUCUUUUAAAUAGAGACCUGUAUGAACGGCAUAACGAGGGUUUAACUGUCUCCUUCCCCUAGUCAAUGAAAUUGAUCUGCCCGUGCAGAAGCGGACAUAAAUACAUAAGACGAGAAGACCCUAUGGAGCUUUAGACAAAAGAUCAAACAUGUAAAGAAACCAAGUUAACCAAAAGGAACACAAAGGCCACGAAACCCGACGUAAACUGAUCCAAAUGUCUUCGGUUGGGGCGACCAUGGGGGAGAAAAAAGCCCCCACGAGGAACAGGGACUAAUCCCUAAGCCAAGAGAGACAUCUCUAAGCAACAGAAAAUCUGACCAAAAGUGACCCAGAAUACUAAUUCUGAUCAACGAACCAAGUUACCCUAGGGAUAACAGCGCAAUCCUUUCCCAGAGUCCAUAUCGACGAAAGGGUUUACGACCUCGAUGUUGGAUCAGGACAUCCUAAUGGUGCAGCCGCUAU
RNAcentral lists this ribosomal RNA (490 nucleotides) under Anguilla japonica (Japanese eel). RNAcentral describes it as "partial 16S rRNA". It matches the Rfam family "Bacterial large subunit ribosomal RNA", at positions 1943 to 2565 of the family's 2925-position model. The record is from RNAcentral. Lineage: Eukaryota; Metazoa; Chordata; Actinopteri; Anguilliformes; Anguillidae.